AUUUUUCUGACCUGUCUAAUUUGAUCAGGUGAUUGUGAUAUGUAUAGAACCUGGCAUAGUUCAUCUAUGGAUUUAAUGAAAUUUGGUGUGGGAUUAGUGUUUAAUAAAUGGAAUUACUUGGGAGGAGUUUGCAUGAUUUUGGUGGGGAAAAAUGAUGUGUUAGGUGGGUUUUAAUUAAGAUAAAUUUCAUGGUGGUGUAAUGUCGUUUGGCCAUAGAUUUCGAAGUUGAAACAUUGUGAUUUUUGGAACUUGAAGUUGUGUUUCGACAUGCAUCUUACUUGGAAAAAAUUUGAAGUUUUGUGAGUGACAGUGAAAUUUCUCCCAAAAAUUUGAAAAUAUUUUGAAGAUAAAUUUUCAAAAUCUGAUCAAAUUUUAUGGCCAAACAUAUAUUUGAAGAUAAAUUUUCUAAAGCUAUGGCCAAACGCUAGCUUAGGUUGUGGGUAGUGGUGUUUGAAGAUGACAGAUAUUCAGCAACAACGGCAACAGAAGCCCGAGAGCACGGGGGAUGAUGCCGGUUCUGAAUUUGAGAGGGGAUGGGAGGAGUUAAUGCGCGGGCACUUGGACGAGUGUAUGUCGUUUGAUUCUUGUAGUUCAGUACACAACACUGAAGAUGAGGACGAUGAGAGUGAUGGUCUUGUGAGAAGGAGGAGGAGGAGGAGUACGGGAAUUGAAGGCGAUAAUGAUAAUCUGGCUGAGUCUUCUGCUGCUAGGCGGAGGCGUUCACGGAUUUUGGGUAGGUGGGCUGCUAGACGGGCAGAAGAUAUGAUUACUACUAUCGAGAGGAGGAAUCGUGAGUCUGAGUUGAUGGCACUUGCUGGUUUGCACACCGUGUCAACGCUUGAUUCUUCGUUCUUGAGAGAAUCACAAUCUCCUACUUCAAGGCGUCAGGGUGAUGCUGAUAGGACAAGCAGUAGGUCGUCGACUAUUUUGCAAAUGUGGCGGGAGUUUGAGGAUGAGCAUGUAUUGAAUCGUGCCCGAGACAGGGCGAGGGAAAGACUGACACACCAGAGGAGUGUGGAUUCUAAUACCAAUAUUUCGAGUACUAGUAUUUCAGAAAGCCGGGAGAGUGAGAACCAUGGUAGUUUGGUGGAUGCAAAUGAGAGUGAGAAUGAGUAUGGUACUUGGUCUCACGACGUGAUUGGACCACAGAUUGAGAACAGCGAGCAUGAAAACUCCAGCCGUGAACAGUCUCCUGAUCUAGGGGAAGUUGAGAGCGAGAGGGUGAGGCAAAUCGUUCGAGGAUGGAUGGAGAGUGGGACCAAUGACCAUUCAUCUAAUGUUUCCCAGAGGAAUGGUGGUCCAAGAAGCGAAUGGCUGGGGGAGACAGAGCGUGAAAGGGUGAGAAUUGUGAGGGAGUGGGUCCAAAUGACUAGUCAACAAAGAGGAGCUCGUGGUGGCAGAAGGGAAGAACAGUCCAAUGGGCUUAGUGCUCAAGUUGAUCGUGUUCGUGAUGGGUCUGUUGUUGACCACGAGGAAGGCCAGCCAGAGCACGUACGCAGGGACAUGCUGAGGCUGCGUGGGAGGCAGGCUUUACUUGAUUUGCUUGUGCGGAUUGAAAGGGAAAGGCAGAGGGAACUUCAGGGUCUCUUAGAGCAUCGUGCGGUUUCUGAUUUUGCCCACCGCAGUAGGAUUCAGUCACUACUAAGAGGAAGGUUCUUGCGAAAUGAAGGGCCUGCUGAGGAAGAGAGACCACCUUCAAUGGCAGCAAGCGAACUAGUUCAGCUUAGGCAACGCCACACUGUCUCUGGGCUCAGGCAAGGAUUUCGCUCCAGAUUAGAAAACAUUGUACGUGGUCAAGUAAGCAGCAAUUCUGAAUCUUCAUCUAAUAGUGGCAACAGUGGUCUGAGAAGUAACCAGGCUCACGCAAAUCCUUCACAGGAGGUACAAAAUGAAAAUCUUGAACAGCUGCAGUCUAGGGAGCAAGAGCGGAUUACUCAUCAGUUGCCUGAUCAGAGAGAGAGUUUUGAUUCCAGUACAACUGGUCAGGCUACAAAUUCACUAGUGUCUCCUAACCAAGGAAGGGGUCGAGUGGAACCUGUUGUUGAAGCUGAAGGAGCAAAUCAGCGGGAUGCAACUUCUAAUGAACGGACUCGUGGAACUAUGGAGAAUACAAGUGGGAAUUGGCCACAAAAUCAACCAAUUGCUUGGCACCUUGAAACAACAGGUGACGUGAAUAGAGAUGAACGCCGUUUACCAGAAAAUAAUGAGGUUUGGCAUGAGGAUGGGUCACGAGAAGCUGUGGAGAAUUGGUCAGAAGGAUCUUCUGAUCCUCCUAGAAUGCGGCGUUCUGUCCCUUCUAGGAGAAUUAGUAGAUUCCAUCCGCCCGAUGAUGAUAAUGUGUAUAGUAUGGAACUCAGGGAGCUUCUUAGCAGGAGAAGUGUUUCCAAUCUUCUUCGCAGUGGCUUCCGUGAAAGUUUAGAUCAUUUAAUUCAGUCAUAUGUAGAAAGGCGAGGCCGUGCUCCAAUUGACUGGGAUAUGCAUAGGAACUUGCCUAUUCCAACUUCACCUGAAAGGGAUCAGGACCAACAGAAUGAUGAGAGAAAUGAUGCCCAACAGGAAGGAAUUACCAGGCCUUCACUUGUGCUGCCAACUUCUCCUGUACCUCCUCCACAACCACUUUGGCAUCAGGAUUUGCACCAGUCCAGUUGGCCACGUCACUCUGUGCAUCGUUCUGAACUUGAGUGGGAGAUGAUGAAUGACCUUAGAACGGACAUGGGAAGACUGCAGCAAGGUAUGAAUCACAUGCAAAAGAUGUUGGAGGCCUGCAUGGAUAUGCAACUGGAGUUGCAACGUUCUGUCAGACAGGAGGUUUCAGCUGCUUUAAAUAGAUCAGCUGGUGGACAAGGAGUUGCUGAGACUUCAGUCGAUGGAUCUAAAUGGGGCCACGUGGAAAAGGGUACUUGCUGCGUUUGUUGUGAUAAUCACAUUGAUGCCUUGUUGUACAGAUGUGGGCACAUGUGCACUUGCUACAAAUGUGCAAAUGAAUUGGUUCGAGGUGGAGGGAAGUGUCCAUUGUGCAGGGCACCAAUUGUUGAGGUGAUCCGAGCUUACUCAAUAUUGUAAAUCCAAAGGACAGGAAGUUCAAGAAAAACUAAGAUAAAAGUUGGUAAGGUAUGGAGGAGUUGAAUGCUCCCUCUGCCGAGCUUUCUCAGAUUCUUACCUGUAUAGUGUUUACUUGCCUCCAUUCUUCUGAUUAUGUGGUAUGCUACAUACUGUAUAAUUGGAAAAGCAACCACCAAGACGCACUUCUGUUGCAUCAUUCAUUCGCAAAUGAAAGGUGAAGAGAAAGUAAAAGAUAAAGUAUUGAUUUGCAGUGUCAGAAUGGAUGAAACUACUUUCCAUUAUCAAACAGUGGGUGUACUCGACUGCAGCUCUUUACAGGGAAAAACCAGGAUAACGGCAUUGGGGAAGGUUCAUGGACUUUUCUCAAGUGCAUUUGCAGUUAUAUUUGAAAUAUUGGUGAUCUCUAGCCAUUAGUUUUGACCAAUUGUCCUGUAACUUAUUGUCCAAAUGAUAAAAAUUGAGAUGUUUUGGUCAAAAUAAUCUUCGGAAACAGAAAAAGAAGUACAUGGUACCUUUCUUAUCUUCUUCCUUUCCUAUUAAUUUUAUGGAGAUUCUUGAUCUUUUGCCAGUAUGGCAUAUAUUGGACAAUCAACUGGUUUUGAAAUACUAAAGAGCUAACAUCAUAAAACCCAAUUGAGACAUUGUGGAAUAGGCUAAACCUCUCUUAAUGUCUUUUUGAGCAAGAGCUAAAGUAGCUCCUAAUAGUACUGUUAUUAUUCCUAUGAUUCAUCAUAUGAAUAAUUGAACGUUCGACUGCCCAA
Lycium ferocissimum is the source of this 3824-nucleotide RNA transcript. RefSeq lists it as uncharacterized. The transcript is spliced from 8 exons. NCBI's taxonomy places the organism in Eukaryota, Viridiplantae, Streptophyta, Magnoliopsida, Solanales, Solanaceae. The record is from RefSeq and is a predicted model, not a curated record.